RNAcentral lists this ribosomal RNA (464 nucleotides) under uncultured bacterium. Its description in RNAcentral is "bacterial SSU rRNA". It matches the Rfam family "Bacterial small subunit ribosomal RNA", at positions 1 to 507 of the family's 1533-position model. The record is from RNAcentral.
CAGUAGUCACGUAGUUUGAUCAGUGGCUACAGAACGACGCUGGCGGCAUGCCUAACACAUGCAAGUCGAACGAGACCUUCGGGUCUAGUGGCGCACGGGUGCGUAACGCGUGGGAACCUGCCUUUAGGUUCGGAAUAACUCAGAGAAAUUUGAGCUAAUACCGGAUAAUGUCUUCGGACCAAAGAUUUAUCGCCUUUAGAUGGGCCCGCGUUGGAUUAGCUAGUUGGUGGGGUAAAGGCCUACCAAGGCGACGAUCCAUAGCUGGUCUGAGAGGAUGAUCAGCCACACUGGGACUGAGACACGGCCCAGACUCCUACGGGAGGCAGCAGUGGGGAAUAUUGGACAAUGGGCGAAAGCCUGAUCCAGCAAUGCCGCGUGAGUGAUGAAGGCCUUAGGGUUGUAAAGCUCUUUUACCCGAGAUGAUAAUGACAGUAUCGGGAGAAUAAGCUCCGGCUAACUCCGUG